Molecule: long non-coding RNA, 1107 nt
Organism: Syngnathus typhle (broad-nosed pipefish)
Lineage: Eukaryota; Metazoa; Chordata; Actinopteri; Syngnathiformes; Syngnathidae
Exons: 2
Source: RefSeq, a predicted model, not a curated record
CGUCGAUCUCGCCGUCAGAGUCCUCGUCGGACCAGUCGGUGAAGGUGUUGCGCCGGCCGUCCAUCUGCUCCAUCUCCUCAUCGAACAUGAAGUCCAGCUCUUCUGGCUCGUCCUGCUCGCCGCCGCCCUCCUGCGAGCACAAGCCAGCCGUGGGUUUGACGUGGUCACCUUGUUGGCGGGAGACGGCGAGGAGCCCAAGUGAGGCAGCAGCGAACGGCUGGCGUCGUCUUUUUCCCUCUGCUGCUGUGAGGAGGGCGCCUGCGUUAGCGCGCGACCACAGUCCGGCGGGAGGAGGAGAUGAGGAUGGUGGUGAGGCGGCGCGACCAAAUGAGCAAAACGACGGGAUGCUGAGCUACGUCAAAACCAACUGAGCCGAUCGACGGCUAGGAACGGAAAGAAUGAUGAUGUCACCUUCUCCGGGCUGACCUUGGGUCUCACCGGCGAGGGUCUGGGCCUCUUCUUGACCUCGAUCCAGGACUCGGAGUCCAGGUCGGGGAGGCUGGCCGAGAGGCCCUUGGGCAUCGUCUUAAGGUUGGAGGGCGUGUCCGAUUCGGCCUUGGGCGGGCGAUGCGCUGGGGUCGAGGCUCUGAGGGACCCUGAAAGACGAUGGCAUCGGUCAUUGAUUCUGCGUUCAUUGGAGGAGACCAUCUCUCGCAUAACAAGUGAGGCGAUGACGAUCAAGCUAAUUCAAAUCUGCAACAAAGUCCGCUCAGGAACGAAUGGAGUCGGGCGGCGGGCAUCCUCACCCGCGGGCUCCUCGCUGGGCUGCCUGGGGAUGAACUCGGGGCAGUUGAUGAGUUGCGCAAAGUCGGUGUGGUUGGGCAUGCUCAGGCCCGGAAGUGGCCACUUCUCGGGCUCCACUUUGCGGCGGAUCUUCAUGUCAAUCACUUCCACUUCCUUGCUGUCCUUCAGAGCCUACCGGGAAACGCCCGUUAAACAGGCGCCAAAGCUUAGCUUGUAAAAAUACAAUUUGCUACUUUUGUUCUUGUGCUGCAAUCAGAGUUGGUUUUAAGUUUUCGUCAGUGAUGUCAGAAGAGACAUGAGAAACUCAUCAGUUCUUCAGCGUGUUUGUGCACCAUUAAAAAAAAAAAAAAAAAAAAAAAAAAA